Molecule: ribosomal RNA, 396 nt
Filed under: uncultured bacterium
Lineage: Bacteria
Description: bacterial SSU rRNA
Rfam family: Bacterial small subunit ribosomal RNA
Source: RNAcentral
GAUGAACGCUAGCUACAGGCUUAACACAUGCAAGUCGAGGGGAAACGACAUCGAAAGCUUGCUUUUGAUGGGCGUCGACCGGCGCACGGGUGAGUAACGCGUAUCCAACCUGCCCACCACUUGGGGAUAACCUUGCGAAAGUAAGACUAAUACCCGAUGAUAUCCCUAGACGAUAUCUGAAAGGGGAUUUAAAAGAUUUUAUCGGUGAUGGAUGGGGAUGCGUCUGAUUAGCUUGUUGGCGGGGUAACGGCCACCAAGGCAACGAUCAGUAGGGGUUCUGAGAGGAAGGUCCCCCACAUUGGAACUGAGACACGGUCCAAACUCCUACGGGAGGCAGCAGUGAGGAAUAUUGGUCAAUGGGCAGAGCCUGAACCAGCCAAGUACGCGUGCAGGACG